RNAcentral lists this long non-coding RNA (569 nucleotides) under Homo sapiens (human). RNAcentral describes it as "non-protein coding lnc-ADCY4-4:2". Lineage: Eukaryota; Metazoa; Chordata; Mammalia; Primates; Hominidae. The record is from RNAcentral.
AGUCAACUCGGAAAAAGGGUAACAACCCGGAAAGUAGACUCACCGUCUUGGUCUAGAGACUGACCCCUGCACAGACAGACCCCUUCCCCUCUCUGCGAAAGGACCAAGCCCCAGAAGUCACUCCAUCUCCUACGGCUCGCAAUUUCCAGAGGCCCCCUGGCACCUUCCAGCCUGAUGUCGUGCGUCAAGUUAUGGUGAGUAGGGAGUGGCAUGUCGAUCGCAGCCUCCGACAUUCACACCCAGAGAGCCCCACAGACUCGCUCAGAGAACGUCUUUGAGUCCGGGGACGGUGGGGGCCGGCGAGGGAGGCUGGGGAUUGCAGUGAGAACGCCGAGUCACAGGGGCGCGGGGAGCAGCGCUGAGGCACGGCACGGCCGGCUAGUGGGCGACACCCCUCUCUCAGGCCCAGCGGUGCCCCCGCCCCCUUGGUGUCCAUCGAGGAACUGGAGAACCAGGAGCUCGUCGGCAAAGGCGGGUUCGGCACAGUGUUCCGGGCGCAACAUAGGAAGUGGGGCUACGAUGUGGCGGUCAAGAUCGUAAACUCGAAGGCGAUAUCCAGGGAGGUCAAG